CCUCUCUAACGUAUGUGUGGAAGGCCUAGUUCAGUUCCAUGAAGGCUCCCCGGUUGGCAGUUCAGUCUCUAGAAUUCCUUUUAAUUUUUGUUCCAAAGGCAGUGUACAUGAUGGCAGGAGAAGCACAGCAGCAGGAACCAGAAACUAAGAGGUCACAUUUCUAUUGUGUGCAGGAAGCAGAGAAGGUGAGAGGGAAGUGGCACAAGGCAACAAACUCUCUAAGGAUGUCUCCCUACUGUGGUACUCCCGCAAAGCUCCAUGUAGUAAAAUUCCAUAACCUUACC
This 284-nucleotide long non-coding RNA is filed under the name Mus pahari (shrew mouse). RNAcentral's name for it is "lncRNA (MGP_PahariEiJ_G0006416.1)". Lineage: Eukaryota; Metazoa; Chordata; Mammalia; Rodentia; Muridae. The record is from RNAcentral.